This 949-nucleotide antisense RNA is filed under the name Pongo abelii (Sumatran orangutan). The stretch from base 268 to 411 matches the Rfam family "CDKN2B antisense RNA 1 convserved region 3". The record is from RNAcentral. Lineage: Eukaryota; Metazoa; Chordata; Mammalia; Primates; Hominidae.
CUCGUCGAAAGUCUUCCAUUCUUCAAACUAGAUUAUUUAAAAAUGAAAAAGGAAGAAAGGAAAGCGAGGUCAUCUCAUUGCUCUAUCCGCCAAUCAGGAGGCUGAAUGUCAGUUUUGAACUAAAAGCCGCUCCGCUCCUCUUCUAGAUUUGGAAAACAAGCGAAAUUAAACUAAACCGCUGCACGCCUCUGAUGCGACAUCUGGACACUGCGUGGCGCUGGCGCUGCCGGAGCUGCGGGCCCGGCCUGGCGCCGGACUAGUCUCCCUUUUGAUGAGAAGAGUAAGUCUCAUUCUGAUUCAACAGCAGAGAUCAAAGAAAAGACUUCUGUUUUCUGGCCACCAGAUAUAUGUUAUCUGUGCUUAAAGAACUGAAAAACACACAUCAAAGGAGAAUUCUCUUGGAAAGAGAGGGUUCAAGCAUUAUUGUUAGGUGUGCUGGAAUCCUUUCCCGAGUCAGUACUGCUUUCUAGAACAGAACCAGGGAGAUCUAUUUGGAAUGUAUCUAACUCCAAAGAAACCAUCAGAGGUAAUAGUGGAGACGGGGUUUCACCAUGUUGGCCAGACUGGUCUUGAACUCCAGACCUCAUGAUUCGCCUGCCUCCGCCUCCCAAAGUGCUGGGAUUACAUGUGUGAGACACCACACUCAGCGGAUAGAGAGAAUUUUGACAGUAUCUCACAGACAGCAAGUUGAACAUUGUGGGAUGCAUAAGCUAUUGAGGCCUUUGAAGCUUUCUGCUACAUGGAGGCUAGGGCCAGAGUCAAGAUUUAUGCUUUGCAGCACACUGGUCAGCUGUUUUUGCAAAUCAGAUUAAAUGAUUUUUAAAUGAGGCUGAGAGCAUGGGAGAUACUAAUGUGUGUUUCCUUGUGAGCUACUGCAUAAGUUAGGAAAUUGAAAUACAGAAAGAUGAAAAGUGAUUCGCCCAAGCAUAUAGAUCAAAGCUGUGGCAGA